Molecule: long non-coding RNA, 365 nt
Organism: Hibiscus syriacus
Lineage: Eukaryota; Viridiplantae; Streptophyta; Magnoliopsida; Malvales; Malvaceae
Exons: 3
Source: RefSeq, a predicted model, not a curated record
AAAAGCGGUGUAUGUUUCUCAGGCCAUUUUUUUCGGCACUCAGCCCAUAGGUACUUGUCAGCAAGAAGCUUGAGGAGGGCAUCUGCUAUGGCUUUUUGAUCAUGUGGGUCAACAAGGAGGCCAUUGUUAAGUACCUUGAAGAUAUCCACUGGCCCACCAUUUUUGGUGGCAACAACAGGUAGACCAUAAGCUGCUGCCUGUGAGAUGAAAUAAAAAUGAGAACUAAUAAUUAUAGAACUCGUGAUUACCUUGAAUUCAUUUACAUGAUCCUUAGAGCUCUGAAGUGGGUUAUUUUUUAAAUGCUUAUUGUAGAAAGUAUGAUGUUACUAUGAUCCAGCUUACUCAUAGCAACUCAAAACCUUUGU